CUCCCUGGUGAUAAUAG
Molecule: small RNA, 17 nt
Filed under: Bombyx mori (domestic silkworm)
Lineage: Eukaryota; Metazoa; Arthropoda; Insecta; Lepidoptera; Bombycidae
Description: ovarian small RNA-14676
Source: RNAcentral